UACGUAGGGGGCAAGCGUUGUCCGGAUUUACUGGGCGUAAAGCGCGCGUAGGCGGGAGGUGAAGUCCGGUGGGAAAGCCCACGGCUCAACCGUGGAAGAACGCUGGAAACUCACCUUCUUGAGGGCGGCAGAGGGAAGUGGAAUUGCUGGUGUAGCGGUGAAAUGCGUAGAUAUCAGCAGGAACACCCGUGGCGAAGGCGGCUUCCUGGGCCGCCCCUGACGCUGAGGCGCGAAAGCGUGGGGAGCGAACGGG
This 253-nucleotide ribosomal RNA is filed under the name uncultured bacterium. RNAcentral's name for it is "partial 16S ribosomal RNA". It matches the Rfam family "Bacterial small subunit ribosomal RNA", at positions 524 to 776 of the family's 1533-position model. The record is from RNAcentral.